This 910-nucleotide ribosomal RNA is filed under the name uncultured bacterium. RNAcentral's name for it is "bacterial SSU rRNA". It matches the Rfam family "Bacterial small subunit ribosomal RNA", at positions 33 to 925 of the family's 1533-position model. The record is from RNAcentral.
ACGCUGGCGGCGUGCCUAAUACAUGCAAGUAGAACGCUGAAGAGAGGAGCUUGCUCUUCUUGGAUGAGUUGCGAACGGGUGAGUAACGCGUAGGUAACCUGCCUUGUAGCGGGGGAUAACUAUUGGAAACGAUAGCUAAUACCGCAUAACAAUGGAUGACUCAUGUCAUUUAUUUGAAAGGGGCAAAUGCUCCACUACAAGAUGGACCUGCGUUGUAUUAGCUAGUAGGUGAGGUAACGGCUCACCUAGGCGACGAUACAUAGCCGACCUGAGAGGGUGAUCGGCCACACUGGGACUGAGACACGGCCCAGACUCCUACGGGAGGCAGCAGUAGGGAAUCUUCGGCAAUGGGGGCAACCCUGACCGAGCAACGCCGCGUGAGUGAAGAAGGUUUUCGGAUCGUAAAGCUCUGUUGUAAGUCAAGAACGAGUGUGAGAGUGGAAAGUUCACACUGUGACGGUAGCUUACCAGAAAGGGACAGCUAACUACGUGCCAGCAGCCGCGGUAAUACGUAGGUCCCGAGCGUUGUCCGGAUUUAUUGGGCGUAAAGCGAGCGCAGGCGGUUUGAUAAGUCUGAAGUUAAAGGCUGUGGCUCAACCAUAGUUCGCUUUGGAAACUGUCAAACUUGAGUGCAGAAGGGGAGAGUGGAAUUCCAUGUGUAGCGGUGAAAUGCGUAGAUAUAUGGAGGAACACCGGUGGCGAAAGCGGCUCUCUGGUCUGUAACUGACGCUGAGGCUCGAAAGCGUGGGGAGCGAACAGGAUUAGAUACCCUGGUAGUCCACCCCGUAAACGAUGAGUGCUAGGUGUUGGAUCCUUUCCGGGAUUCAGUGCCGCAGCUACGCAUUAAGCACCUCCGCCUGGGGAGAACGACCGCAAGGUUGAAACUCAAAGGAAUUGACGGGGGCCCGCA